CAGACCAGGCCGAGCACCUUCCAAAGGGGAGGGUCUAACUGAGCAAACAAAGUUGCACGCCACACCACAACCUGCCCCUCCCCUCCCUUUAGCCCCCAAGUCGAAUCCCCGGCGAAACUCACUUGCACUGCGGGUGCCCUCUGGCCCCCACCCCAUCAUCGCGCAACACACCCCCUUCAACAGGCGCGCCCACCCUUUCAUUGCCCUGCGCCCCGAGCGGUCCCACCGCCCGGCAAAACACUGAGCAAGCGGCUGCGCUCACCUUGCUUGACACACUUGAGCCGGAGGGGGUCCUUGCAGUGUUUGAUCACGGCCAGCACGUCCCUGAUGGUGAGCCCCGCCACGGGGGUCUCGUUCACCUCCAGCAGCAGCUCCUCCGACACCAACUUGCUGCCGCUCUCAUAGGCCACCUUGCCGGGCUUCACCUCCCCCAGUAAUGUCUUACAAUAACAGAAUGCAGGAGAGCACAUAUCAAUGAAGAAAAGACAAAAUGUACUUAUCCAUGAAGCUGAGGUUAAGAAACCAGUGUCUUCAAGAGCCAAGGACAGCACUGGGUCUGUGCAGAGUUGAGAGAUGGUGAUGACAUGUGGUUUCCAGCAUUCCUCACCCAGUCCAGGGACACUGUGGGUGUGCCCAGCUUAAGUCCAGUAACUGGAAAUACAAGCCCAAGUUCUGGAGAGUUUGAGCUGCAGAGAUAUAUGUGGGAACACUUUGAACCUUGACUCAUUGGCCAUAACCAGCAGAGUGGAAAAUACAAGAAGAGAAAAAAACAUUGAACUGCGAUUUUAUAACAUCCUUUACUCGGCAGAGAGAAGAGGAAACACCAGGAAAGAAAACUGUAUUACGAUGUGAAAACUUAACGUUGAGAAAUUCAGGCAUCUUGGGGUUAGUGAGGAGAAGUUUUAGGGGCUUAGAUUCUUCAAAACACAUGUACAGAAAUGCAUAUUUCAUCUGAUAUCAAAUGACAUUUAUAGUGCUAAUCUUUACCUCAAGACUUCACAUCUUUUGGUGAUUGCAUCUUUUAGGUUUAUAGCAGCUAAGUUUGCAUGAAAACACCAGGGCUGUUUCAUUUCAGUCAAGAAUUAAUGUUCAUUGAUUGUGCUUCUGCAUUUCACGUAACUAUUGUAGAAUUUGUUUUAGUUUUAUGAGGGAAUAAUUGGUCCAACUUCUAUAUAACUCAGGAAUUUACUCUCAAACAACACUGUCAAUUAGUUACUUAUCUCUCUGGAAAUGAUCUGGGAACAUGGAGAGGAAAGGGAGGAAGGGGCAAAAUCUGACCACUUAAAUCUAAGCAUAUUAGAUCAUUUUAUGCUAGAAAGUCCUGAAUGAUGUGACUUUUGUUCUUGUAAAACACCUCUUUCCAUAGAUUCAUGGCCCAAACAGUAUAUAAAGAGUGGGGAAGGAACUGCAUUUGCAAAU
RNAcentral lists this long non-coding RNA (1419 nucleotides) under Pan troglodytes (chimpanzee). Its description in RNAcentral is "long non-coding RNA NONPTRT015712". Lineage: Eukaryota; Metazoa; Chordata; Mammalia; Primates; Hominidae. The record is from RNAcentral.